Rosa chinensis is the source of this 920-nucleotide long non-coding RNA. RefSeq lists it as uncharacterized. The record is from RefSeq and is a predicted model, not a curated record. Lineage: Eukaryota; Viridiplantae; Streptophyta; Magnoliopsida; Rosales; Rosaceae. The transcript has 3 exons.
UCUCUCUCUCUCUCUCUCUCUCUCUCUCUCUCUCUCUCUCUCUCUCUCUCUCUCUCUCUCUCGUCUUACUACUCCAUAUUCACCAUGAUCAAUUAACCUGGAUAGUCUGAAUCGUAAGGAAUAGAUCCCGAAUCCCCCUAUCAGAUUCAACUCUGGUCUAUCAAUUUAACCUACCCUCUAUUUUUGAAUUAGGGAUUGUGAUUUCUUAUGCGAUUGUGGUUUUUCUUUGCAGCAAGGGAUUGAAGAGAUUUCAUACUGUGUUCGUAGAGAGCGAGGUUGCGAAUCACCUCGGAUGAAAGAAGCCAUCGACCAUUAAAACUCGUUCCUCGUGCUUCAACCCGAGACCAUGGAGAAGCUCCAGCGACAACACUAUCAGCACUGAGUAGGAGGCUGAAACCAUGGUAGUGAUUGAACCCAAGAAGAUCAUCAUUGAGAUCCUGGUAUCGAUUUCGGCCAAGUCAAUUGCAGACUGAAGUUGCUCUAUUUGCUUCCCUUGUACUCACCAACUUGAUUUCAGCCAUCCAUCCCCAGAAAGUUGAAAAAAAAAUGAAUAAUAUCAAGAAUCUAAUCAAUUUCAAUUUCGGAACUGCAAAGAAGCAACAGGACUUGAUACUGGACCAUGAAUAGAAGCAAUUGUUGACCGGAAAAAAGAAAAAAAAAAAAAAGAAAAGAAGAAGCAAUUGAAACUCUGAUUCCUACCCGUUGGUCCCACCAUGUCAGAAUUGCAAAAGAAGCCACGCACAACAAAACUGAGACAAUUAAGCUGAGACAAUUAAGGAGAAAGCAACCCCUCUACAGCGCACUGACCCAAAAAAUGUGGCUGCAGCGUGGCAAUGGGUAAUAGACACGCACAUGUGUGUCCUUUGGCCCAAAUAUGUCACGAAUGUGUAUGUGGCCAUUGCCAAAAAUUGUAGUAGUGU